RNAcentral lists this ribosomal RNA (492 nucleotides) under uncultured bacterium. RNAcentral's name for it is "partial 16S ribosomal RNA". It matches the Rfam family "Bacterial small subunit ribosomal RNA", at positions 29 to 507 of the family's 1533-position model. The record is from RNAcentral.
AGUGAACGCUGGCGGUAGGCCUAACACAUGCAAGUCGAACGGCAGCACAGUAAGAGCUUGCUCUUACGGGUGGCGAGUGGCGGACGGGUGAGGAAUACAUCGGAAUCUACUUUUUCGUGGGGGAUAACGUAGGGAAACUUACGCUAAUACCGCGUACGACCUACGGGUGAAAGCAGGGGAUCUUCGGACCUUGCGCGAUUGAAUGAGCCGAUGUCGGCUUAGCUAGUUGGCGGGGUAAAGGCCCACCAAGGCGACGAUCCGUAGCUGGUCUGAGAGGAUGAUCAGCCACACUGGAACUGAGACACGGUCCAGACUCCUACGGGAGGCAGCAGUGGGGAAUAUUGGACAAUGGGCGCAAGCCUGAUCCAGCCAUACCGCGUGGGUGAAGAAGGCCUUCGGGUUGUAAAGCCCUUUUGUUGGGAAAGAAAAGCAGCAGGUUAAUACCCCGCUGUUCUGACGGUACCCAAAGAAUAAGCACCGGCUAACUUCGUG